RNAcentral lists this ribosomal RNA (705 nucleotides) under uncultured bacterium. RNAcentral describes it as "bacterial SSU rRNA". It matches the Rfam family "Bacterial small subunit ribosomal RNA", at positions 74 to 796 of the family's 1533-position model. The record is from RNAcentral.
UCUCCUUCGGGAGAGAGGCUAGCGGCGGACGGGUGAGUAACACGUGGGCAACCUGCCUCAUAGAGGGGAAUAGCCUCCCGAAAGGGAGAUUAAUACCGCAUAAGAUUGUAGCUUCGCAUGAAGCAGCAAUUAAAGGAGCAAUCCGCUAUGAGAUGGGCCCGCGGCGCAUUAGCUAGUUGGUGAGGUAACGGCUCACCAAGGCGACGAUGCGUAGCCGACCUGAGAGGGUGAUCGGCCACAUUGGGACUGAGACACGGCCCAGACUCCUACGGGAGGCAGCAGUGGGGAAUAUUGCACAAUGGGGGAAACCCUGAUGCAGCAACGCCGCGUGAGUGAUGACGGCCUUCGGGUUGUAAAGCUCUGUCUUCAGGGACGAUAAUGACGGUACCUGAGGAGGAAGCCACGGCUAACUACGUGCCAGCAGCCGCGGUAAUACGUAGGUGGCGAGCGUUGUCCGGAUUUACUGGGCGUAAAGGGAGCGUAGGCGGACUUUUAAGUGAGAUGUGAAAUACCCAGGCUCAACUUGGGUGCUGCAUUUCAAACUGGAAGUCUAGAGUGCAGGAGAGGAGAAUGGAAUUCCUAGUGUAGCGGUGAAAUGCGUAGAGAUUAGGAAGAACACCAGUGGCGAAGGCGAUUCUCUGGACUGUAACUGACGCUGAGGCUCGAAAGCGUGGGGACAAACAGGAUUAGAUACCCUGGUAGUCC